Molecule: ribosomal RNA, 507 nt
Filed under: uncultured Glomus
Lineage: Eukaryota; Fungi; Glomeromycota; Glomeromycetes; Glomerales; Glomeraceae
Description: SSU rRNA
Rfam family: Eukaryotic small subunit ribosomal RNA
Source: RNAcentral
AGCAGCCGCGGUAAUUCCAGCUCCAAUAGCGUAUAUUAAAGUUGUUGCAGUUAAAAAGCUCGUAGUUGAAUUUCGGGGUUAGUAGGUUGGUCAUGCCUCAGGUAUGUACUUAUCUCACUGAUUCCUCCCUCUUGACGAACUGUAAUGUCAUUAAUUUGGUGUUGCAGGAAAUCAGGACUGUUACUUUGAAAAAAUUAGAGUGUUUAAAGCAGGCUUAGGCUUGAAUACAUUAGCAUGGAAUAAUGAAAUAGGACGUUUGAACCUAUUUUGUUGGUUUCUAGGAUCGACGUAAUGAUUAAUAGGGAUAGUUGGGGGCAUUAGUAUUCAAUUGUCAGAGGUGAAAUUCUUGGAUUUAUUGAAGACUAACUACUGCGAAAGCAUUUGCCAAGGAUGUUUUCAUUAAUCAAGAACGAAAGUUAGGGGAUCGAAGACGAUCAGAUACCGUCGUAGUCUUAACCAUAAACUAUGCCGACUAGGGAUCGGAUGAUGUUAAUUUUUUAAUGACUC